UACGGAGGAUGCAAGCGUUAUCCGGAAUGAUUGGGCGUAAAGCGUCCGCAGGUGGCAAUGUAAGUCUGCUGUCAAAGCGUCUGGCUCAACCAGAUAAAGGCAGUGGAAACUACAUAGCUAGAGUAAGGUAGGGGUAGAGGGAAUUCCUGGUUUAGCGGUGAAAUGCGUAGAGAUCAGGAAGAACACCGGUGGCGAAAGCGCUCUGCUGGACCUAAACUGACACUGAGGGACGAAAGCUAGGGGAGCGAAUGGG
Molecule: ribosomal RNA, 253 nt
Filed under: uncultured bacterium
Lineage: Bacteria
Description: partial 16S ribosomal RNA
Rfam family: Bacterial small subunit ribosomal RNA
Source: RNAcentral